UGGCCAAAUUGGUAUUCUCUGACCCCCGGGGCAUCUGGAAACGAGUCAUUCCUGUUGGGUUUAUUAGUGCUUGAACAACAAGACCUUCAUCAGGCAGGAGUUUUGGUAUCUCCCCUCAGCAGGCCUGUGAAGACUCGGGACAGGCGUCAGCCAUGAAGAUCCUGUACCUGCUCUUUCCCCUCUUGCUCCUGUUGGUCCAGGGUGCUGCAGGAAAUCGGGCUAAGUGCAGAGAGAAAAGGGGAUACUGCACUUUGGGACGCUGCCGCUACCCUGCAAUAACUAUUGGAGCGUGUUCCAGAUUUCAGGAAUGCUGCAGAAGUGUCUGGGGCUGAGCCCCUGAACUCCAUGAGCAGGACGUCCCCCUCCCUUCUCGCUCCUGGCACCAUGUCCUGAUGUCCUCUCCACUCCCCGCCUCUGCCGUCCCCAGGGGCUGUGACAGCAGGAGUGGAAGCGCUGCUCCUGCUGGGUGCCCGUGUGCUGGGGACAUCCCGUCAUGGAGCCAGUGCUGCUGGGGCAGAGGCUGCUUUUCCCGCCUUGAAUAAAGACAAGCAGUUUGGCAUUGCA
This is a long non-coding RNA of Strigops habroptila (Kakapo), 564 nucleotides long. RefSeq lists it as uncharacterized. The transcript has 4 exons. Lineage: Eukaryota; Metazoa; Chordata; Aves; Psittaciformes; Psittacidae. The record is from RefSeq and is a predicted model, not a curated record.